GACGAGGGAUCCUAGCGUUGCUCGGAAUUACUGGGCGUAAAGCGUGCGCAGGCGGUUUGUUAAGUCCGCUGUGAAAUCCCCGAGCUCAACUUGGGAAUUGCAGUGGAUACUGGCAAGCUGGAGUACGGUAGAGGAAGGUGGAAUUCCCGGUGUAGCAGUGAAAUGCGUAGAGAUCGGGAGGAACACCAGUGGCGAAGGCGGC
Molecule: ribosomal RNA, 202 nt
Filed under: uncultured bacterium
Lineage: Bacteria
Description: partial 16S ribosomal RNA
Rfam family: Bacterial small subunit ribosomal RNA
Source: RNAcentral